GACUAUUGGCGAUGGAUAUCUUGGCUCUCGCGUCGAUGGAGAACAUAGCGAUUAGCGUGUGAUACUUAAUGUGAAUUGCAAAAUCUCGUGAACAACUGAGUCUUUGAGUGCAAGUUGUGCCUGAAACCACUAUGCCGAUGGCGCGACUGCCUGGGCGUCG
Molecule: ribosomal RNA, 160 nt
Filed under: Nicotiana sylvestris (wood tobacco)
Lineage: Eukaryota; Viridiplantae; Streptophyta; Magnoliopsida; Solanales; Solanaceae
Also listed under: 1 other name
Description: 5.8S ribosomal RNA
Rfam family: 5.8S ribosomal RNA
About the family: 5.8S ribosomal RNA (5.8S rRNA) is a component of the large subunit of the eukaryotic ribosome.
Source: Rfam by way of RNAcentral